GUUGAACGUGCCCGAUACUUUGUCUCAACCUGAGAGUUUUAAUCUUGCAAAUGAAAAAGGUGAGCAAAGUUUCAGGUGUGUUUGGUG
RNAcentral lists this microRNA precursor (87 nucleotides) under Tetranychus urticae (two-spotted spider mite). Its description in RNAcentral is "mir-87 microRNA precursor family". It matches the Rfam family "mir-87 microRNA precursor family". The record is from Rfam by way of RNAcentral. Lineage: Eukaryota; Metazoa; Arthropoda; Arachnida; Trombidiformes; Tetranychidae.